RNAcentral lists this ribosomal RNA (301 nucleotides) under uncultured bacterium. RNAcentral describes it as "partial 16S ribosomal RNA". It matches the Rfam family "Bacterial small subunit ribosomal RNA", at positions 509 to 807 of the family's 1533-position model. The record is from RNAcentral.
CAGCAGCCACGGGAAUACAGAGGGUGCGAGCGUUAAUCGGAUUUACUGGGCGUAAAGCGUGCGUAGGCGGCUUUUUAAGUCGGAUGUGAAAUCCCUGAGCUUAACUUAGGAAUUGCAUUCGAUACUGGGAAGCUAGAGUAUGGGAGAGGAUGGUAGAAUUCCAGGUGUAGCGGUGAAAUGCGUAGAGAUCUGGAGGAAUACCGAUGGCGAAGGCAGCCAUCUGGCCUAAUACUGACGCUGAGGUACGAAAGCAUGGGGAGCAAACAGGAUUAGAUACCCGAGUAGUACCUGUCUCUUAUAC